GAUGAACGCUGGCGGCGUGCCUAAUACAUGCAAGUCGAACGAAACUUCUUUAUCACCGAGUGCUUGCACUCACCGAUACAGAGUUGAGUGGCGAACGGGUGAGUAACACGUGGGCAACCUGCCCAAAAGAGGGGGAUAACACUUGGAAACAGGUGCUAAUACCGCAUAACCAUAGUUACCGCAUGGUAACUAUGUAAAAGGUGGCUAUACUACCGCCUUUGGAUGGGCCCGCGGCGCAUUAGCUAGUUGGUAGGGUAAAGGCUUACCAAGGCAAUGAUGCGUAGCCGAAUUGAGAGGUUGAUCGGCCACAUUGGGACUGAGACACGGACCAAACUCCUACGGGAGGCAGCAGUAGGGAAUCUUCCACAAUGGGCGAAAGCCUGAUGGAGCAACGCCGCGUGGGUGAAGAAGGUCUUCGGAUCGUAAAACCCUGUUGUUAGAGAAGAAAGUGCGUGAGAGUAACUGUUCACGUUUCGACGGUAUCUAACCAGAAAGCCGCGGCUAACUACGUG
RNAcentral lists this ribosomal RNA (512 nucleotides) under uncultured bacterium. RNAcentral describes it as "partial 16S ribosomal RNA". It matches the Rfam family "Bacterial small subunit ribosomal RNA", at positions 28 to 507 of the family's 1533-position model. The record is from RNAcentral.